Molecule: unclassified non-coding RNA, 1040 nt
Filed under: Hevea brasiliensis (rubber tree)
Lineage: Eukaryota; Viridiplantae; Streptophyta; Magnoliopsida; Malpighiales; Euphorbiaceae
Source: RNAcentral
GACUGCAAUUGCAACAUUAGAUACAUUGGUUUAGGCAAGACAAAUGGGGGGUGUUUCCAGCUAAAUCAAGCAUUACCUCAGUAAAGAACACCUCUAUAGACUAUAAGAAACAGGAAGUGAAAUGUGAUUUGUUCAUUAUUUCAUACAACAGUUUAGACUAUAUCUUGACACAAGAUGCUAUGUAUUUCAGAUCUCCAUAAAGCAGUUCCGUUUGGUUCUCACUUCUCAGCUUGUCACUUGAACUAAAAUUGUCCCAAUUAGUCCUUCUUGUCGACAUCAGCCUCAGAUUUGACUACAGAUUCAACAGCAGCAGUCUCUGAAGGGGCAUCAGCACCAGCCUCGGAACCUUUUGACGGACCAUCAUAUUCCGAUGGCUUGGCGCUCCCUGAAGCAUCAUCCUCGCCUGGCUUAGCUUCACCAUCAGUAGUUGCUUCAAUAGUUUCGUCAUUAGCUUGCCCAUCAUUUACUGGCACUGCCUGCUUCACAGUACCAACUUUGACAUAUUUGCUCAUGAAUUUGUACUCCCAAUCUUGCAAGGCAUCAAGCUCAAAUGCACCAAGGCCAGAAAUAUCCCCUGUGAGAUCUUUUUCCUCAAAGGACAGCUUGGCAAGAGCUCUACUAGCAUCCUUUCCAGCAAACAAUGCAUAAGGUCCCCCAGGUCCAUAAAACAUUCUGCUCUGUGAAACAUCAUAGAUCUGACCCUUAAUUGCCAUCAACAAAGGCUUCUUUGAAUCCGACCCAUCAUACUGCUUCAACUCCUCUCCAGAAAUCUCUCCAAGUUGAACUGGUGGUGGCAGAGGCUUCUGUUCCUCGAAAUCUCUAGGCCUCUGUUGAUGACGAUUAUCAGGUGAACCAAACAACUCGGAUACAACAUAGUAGAAAGCAAGCGCUAGAGCAACAAGGGUAAAAAAAGUAGUCGGAGCUAGACCAGUGUAAGCUGUAAUAGAAUCUUUCAAUGUUUCCCAUAGUUCUACAGCCAUAAUUGAAGAAGAAGUUGAAAUCUUUUGCUUCUACUGUUGGGCGAGAUAAACAAAGAGAAG